This 1191-nucleotide ribosomal RNA is filed under the name Pantoea stewartii. Its description in RNAcentral is "bacterial SSU rRNA". It matches the Rfam family "Bacterial small subunit ribosomal RNA", at positions 24 to 1167 of the family's 1533-position model. Lineage: Bacteria; Pseudomonadati; Pseudomonadota; Gammaproteobacteria; Enterobacterales; Erwiniaceae. The record is from RNAcentral.
UCAGAUUGAACGCUGGCGGCAGGCCUAACACAUGCAAGUCGGACGGUAGCACAGAGGAGCUUGCUCCUCGGGUGACGAGUGGCGGACGGGUGAGUAAUGUCUGGGAAACUGCCCGAUGGAGGGGGAUAACUACUGGAAACGGUAGCUAAUACCGCAUAACGUCGCAAGACCAAAGUGGGGGACCUCCGGGCCUCACACCAUCGGAUGUGCCCAGAUGGGAUUAGCUAGUAGGCGGGGUAACGGCCCACCUAGGCGACGAUCCCUAGCUGGUCUGAGAGGAUGACCAGCCACACUGGAACUGAGACACGGUCCAGACUCCUACGGGAGGCAGCAGUGGGGAAUAUUGCACAAUGGGCGCAAGCCUGAUGCAGCCAUGCCGCGUGUAUGAAGAAGGCCUUCGGGUUGUAAAGUACUUUCAGCGGGGAGGAAGGUGGUGAGGUUAAUAACCUCAUCAAUUGACGUUACCCGCAGAAGAAGCACCGGCUAACUCCGUGCCAGCAGCCGCGGUAAUACGGAGGGUGCAAGCGUUAAUCGGAAUUACUGGGCGUAAAGCGCACGCAGGCGGUCUGUUAAGUCAGAUGUGAAAUCCCCGGGCUUAACCUGGGAACUGCAUUUGAAACUGGCAGGCUUGAGUCUCGUAGAGGGGGGUAGAAUUCCAGGUGUAGCGGUGAAAUGCGUAGAGAUCUGGAGGAAUACCGGUGGCGAAGGCGGCCCCCUGGACGAAGACUGACGCUCAGGUGCGAAAGCGUGGGGAGCAAACAGGAUUAGAUACCCUGGUAGUCCACGCCGUAAACGAUGUCGACUUGGAGGUUGUUCCCUUGAGGAGUGGCUUCCGGAGCUAACGCGUUAAGUCGACCGCCUGGGGAGUACGGCCGCAGGGUUAAAACUCAAAUGAAUUGACGGGGGCCCGCACAAGCGGUGGAGCAUGUGGUUUAAUUCGAUGCAACGCGAAGAACCUUACCUACUCUUGACAUCCAGCGAACUUGGCAGAGAUGCAUUGGUGCCUUCGGGAACGCUGAGACAGGUGCUGCAUGGCUGUCGUCAGCUCGUGUUGUGAAAUGUUGGGUUAAGUCCCGCAACGAGCGCAACCCUUAUCCUUGUGUUGCCAGCGAUUCGGUCGGGAACUCAAAGGAGAGUCCGGUGAUCAGUCUCCUGGCUGAUGUACUGUUCAUGGCCGAGAAGGACUCCCGA